This 246-nucleotide ribosomal RNA is filed under the name uncultured bacterium. Its description in RNAcentral is "partial 16S ribosomal RNA". It matches the Rfam family "Bacterial small subunit ribosomal RNA", at positions 523 to 769 of the family's 1533-position model. The record is from RNAcentral.
AUACAGAGGGUGCAAGCGUUAAUCGGAUUUACUGGGCGUAAAGCGUGCGUAGGUGGCCAAUUAAGUCAAAUGUGAAAUCCCCGAGCUUAACUUGGGAAUUGCAUUCGAUACUGGUGGCUAGAGUAUGGGAGAGGAUGGUAGAAUUCCAGGUGUAGCGGUGAAAUGCGUAGAGAUCUGGAGGAAUACCGAUGGCGAAGGCAGCCAUCUGGCCUAAUACUGACGCUGAGGUACGAAAGCAUGGGGAGC